This 1049-nucleotide long non-coding RNA is filed under the name Coturnix japonica (Japanese quail). RNAcentral describes it as "lncRNA (ENSCJPG00005013591.1)". The record is from RNAcentral. Lineage: Eukaryota; Metazoa; Chordata; Aves; Galliformes; Phasianidae.
GCUGUUUCCAAAACUAUCAGGCAGAAUUUGAUGAAUCAACAGACUGAAUAACCCACUGCUUAUUUCCUGAAACAAAGAGCACCUGUAACAUAGAAGGGGUAACUGCCUGGCAAGAGGCUGGUAUAGAUGUAUACAAAUGUUGGGUCUGGGAAGAGAGCUAGGGACAAGUGGCUACACAAAUCCAAGUGCUGUUGAAAUGUCAGAUGGUAAAAACAACCCAAGAGUUCCAGAUGGGGCAAUUAGAAGAGAAACAUGCUGAAGAUGAUAAUAAGAAAAUUCUGGAUUCUCUCAAGUGGGAGUCCCAUGUCCUCACCUGUGACUUCCAAAUGCAAUCACUGUUCAAGUCUUGUGCAAAGCAGCACACCAUGAGGAAGUUCUUCAUUAUCAGGUGUCCCCUCAUUUGGCCAGAAGUGUUUGACCAAACUGUGGAAGGUCUGUGUCAUGAGGAGUUCAGAGGAGAUGUCACAGAGCAAUUUGCUGUUGAGUGGGAAGUCAUGAAGAGUUUGCAGUCUGGCUGCGGUGCUGAUACAUAUGACAGGCUGGUAGAAAGGAGACAAGCUUGCGAGAGCUGCAAUGUGGUGGUGUGUUUGAGGUAUGUGAACACAGAACAAGUGCCCAAGCAUCUGGCUUUUAUGUUGGUCUUUGUGCAAGCAUUGCUUCUCUGGUGUUUGGUCUGGCUCAUCUAGAGGCAGGCAUACACUUAGACUGCAGACCCACUGCCAAUAAUGUUCUUUCUGAAGUGAUUGCGAGGUAAGUCAAUUAUGUCAUUCCUCUUAGAAUGGGAAGUAUUAAUUAGGUGAAUUAGAGAUGCAGAGCAAAAAUGAUCAAAGCAGGUGAUGAAACGGGGUACCAAGAUAUACAGUGUGGUUUAAUGCUCAUGAUGCCUGUUCACUGUGAAUGUCUUUGAAGAUGGGUGAUACAUAACAUUUCUAAUUGAUUACAUUAGCAAGAGUGUUAUCUGGAGGGCAUUUGAUGGAGAUUCAGGAAACCUGGCUCUGUUUCUUGGUGUUUCAUUGGCCAUCUGAGCAAGUUAAUUCCUUUUCCUGUGC